RNAcentral lists this long non-coding RNA (644 nucleotides) under Ananas comosus (pineapple). Its description in RNAcentral is "long non-coding RNA (ACOM_LNC024628)". Lineage: Eukaryota; Viridiplantae; Streptophyta; Magnoliopsida; Poales; Bromeliaceae. The record is from RNAcentral.
CAUCAACGCUUGAUGUGGAUUCUUCUCCAAAUAACCCUAAUUUUAUCUAAUAAAAUACAAGGAUUCGCAGAUCCCAAUAAAAGCGGCACGCAGGCCCUUUAAAAAAAAAUAUAUAUAUAUAUAUAUACAACCAUAAUUAAAUUACAAAUACACCCAUAAUCAAAUUACAAAUACAUCCAUAAUCACAUCACAGAUGUCUAAAGUCCAUGAUCAUCACCUAUCUAAAAACUAUGCAGAAAAUAAUAACCAAAUCGAUCUAAUCAUCGAUUAAAAAUUUGGAACUCAAUAAAAUAUUUUUCUCAAGUCUCCACAUAUUUAUUAUAUGGUGUACCUUCAAUAAAUCGUAUUACGUGCGACUUAAGAAAAAUAAUAUCGAUCUCAUCGAAAAAGGUUCCAAAAUUUCAAUCAAACCAUACAGAUCGUAAAUAUUUUAUAUAGACAUGAGAAUCGGCUCUGAUAUCACUGUAAGAAUUUAUCCGGCACAAAAAUCGCAGCGGAAAAUAAAAUUGUAUUUUCGAAAAACAAAAAUCCAUAUCACAUAUGAACCAAAAUAAAACAAAUCAAUCCAGUGCCGGUGGAUCAUUCUCAUAUUGCAAUGUAAAAUAAAAUCUAACCUAAACAGAUUUAAAGUUCAGGUUACAUUA